Molecule: microRNA, 22 nt
Filed under: Rattus norvegicus (Norway rat)
Lineage: Eukaryota; Metazoa; Chordata; Mammalia; Rodentia; Muridae
Description: rno-miR-217-5p
Gene: rno-miR-217-5p
Source: miRBase by way of RNAcentral
UACUGCAUCAGGAACUGACUGG